This 416-nucleotide ribosomal RNA is filed under the name Microbacteriaceae bacterium. RNAcentral's name for it is "bacterial SSU rRNA". It matches the Rfam family "Bacterial small subunit ribosomal RNA", at positions 991 to 1413 of the family's 1533-position model. Lineage: Bacteria; Bacillati; Actinomycetota; Actinomycetes; Micrococcales; Microbacteriaceae. The record is from RNAcentral.
CGGAACGUCUGGAAACAGUGCCCCGCAAGGUCGGUAUACAGGUGGGCAUGGUGUCGUCAGCUCGUGUCGUGAGAUGUUGGGUUAAGUCCCGCAACGAGCGCAACCCUCGUUCUAUGUUGCCAGCACGUAAUGGUGGGAACUCAUAGGAGACUGCCGGGGUCAACUCGGAGGAAGGUGGGGAGGACGUCAAAUCAUCAUGCCCCUUAUGUCUUGGGCUUCACGCAUGCUACAAUGGCCGGUACAAAGGGCUGCAAUACCGUAAGGUGGAGCGAAUCCCAAAAAGCCGGUCUCAGUUCGGAUUGAGGUCUGCAACUCGACCUCAUGAAGUCGGAGUCGCUAGUAAUCGCAGAUCAGCAACGCUGCGGUGAAUACGUUCCCGGGCCUUGUACACACCGCCCGUCAAGUCAUGAAAGUCG